Molecule: ribosomal RNA, 429 nt
Filed under: uncultured archaeon
Lineage: Archaea
Description: bacterial SSU rRNA
Rfam family: Archaeal small subunit ribosomal RNA
Source: RNAcentral
CACCAGCCCCUCGAGUGGUGGGGAUGAUUAUUUGGCCUAAAGCGUCCGUAGCCGGCCGGGUAAGUUUCCCGUUAAAUCCAGCGUCUCAAGCGUUGGACUGCGGGAAAUAACUGCCUGGCUAGAGAGUGGGAGAGGUCAGCGGUAUUCUGGGGGUAGGGGCGAAAUCCUUUGAUCCCCGGAGGACCACCAGUGGCGAAGGCUGCUGACUAGAACACGUCUGACGGUCAGGGACGAAAGCUGGGGUAGCGAACCGGAUUAGAUACCCGGGUAGUCCCAGCCGUAAACGAUGCAUGCUAGGUGUUGGGUUGGCCACGAGCCACCCCAGUGCCGCAGGGAAGCCGUUAAGCAUGCCGCCUGGGAAGUACGAUCGCAAGAUUGAAACUUAAAGGAAUUGGCGGGGAGCACCACCAGGCGUGAAGCCUGCGGUUU